Molecule: non-coding RNA, 73 nt
Organism: Pangasianodon gigas (Mekong giant catfish)
Lineage: Eukaryota; Metazoa; Chordata; Actinopteri; Siluriformes; Pangasiidae
Source: the annotation of a GenBank genome assembly
UCCCUGGUGGUCUAGCAGCUAAGGAUCCUGCACUCUCUACACUGCGGCCCAGGUUCAAUUCCCGGGCAGGGAA